UGCCAGCAGCCGCGGUAACACGGGGGGCGCGAGCGUUAUUCGGAAUCACUGGGCUUAAAGCGUGCGUAGGCGGCUUGGCAAGUUGGGUGUGAAAUCCCUCGGCUCAACCGAGGAAUUGCGCUCAAAACUGCCAGGCUUGAGGGAGAUAGAGGUGAGCGGAACUGAUGGUGGAGCGGUGAAAUGCGUUGAUAUCAUCAGGAACACCGGUGGCGAAAGCGGCUCACUGGGUCUCUUCUGACGCUGAGGCACGAAAGCUAGGGGAGCGAACGGGAUUAGAUA
Molecule: ribosomal RNA, 279 nt
Filed under: uncultured bacterium
Lineage: Bacteria
Description: partial 16S ribosomal RNA
Rfam family: Bacterial small subunit ribosomal RNA
Source: RNAcentral